This 729-nucleotide ribosomal RNA is filed under the name uncultured bacterium. RNAcentral's name for it is "bacterial SSU rRNA". It matches the Rfam family "Bacterial small subunit ribosomal RNA", at positions 94 to 820 of the family's 1533-position model. The record is from RNAcentral.
AGCGGCGGACGGGUGAGUAACGCGUAGGAAUCUACCUGGUAGUGGGGGACAACAUGGUGAAAACCAUGCUAAUACCGCAUACGCCCUAUGGGGGAAAGCGGGGGACCUUCGGGCCUCGCGCUAUCAGAUGAGCCUGCGUAGGAUUAGCUUGUUGGUGAGGUAAAGGCUCACCAAGGCGACGAUCCUUAGCUGGUCUGAGAGGAUGAUCAGCCACACUGGAACUGAGACACGGUCCAGACUCCUACGGGAGGCAGCAGUGGGGAAUAUUGCGCAAUGGGCGAAAGCCUGACGCAGCCAUGCCGCGUGUGUGAAGAAGGCCUUCGGGUUGUAAAGCACUUUCAAUUGGGAAGAAAGGUUGCGUGUUAAUAGCACGUAGCUGUGACGUUACCUUUAGAAGAAGCACCGGCUAACUCCGUGCCAGCAGCCGCGGUAAUACGGAGGGUGCGAGCGUUAAUCGGAAUUACUGGGCGUAAAGCGCGCGUAGGCGGUUUGUUAAGUCGGAUGUGAAAUCCCCGGGCUCAACCUGGGAAUGGCAUUCGAUACUGGCCGACUAGAGUACGAGAGAGGGAGGUAGAAUUCCACGUGUAGCGGUGAAAUGCGUAGAUAUGUGGAGGAAUACCGGUGGCGAAGGCGGCCUCCUGGCUCGAUACUGACGCUGAGGUGCGAAAGCGUGGGUAGCAAACAGGAUUAGAUACCCUGGUAGUCCACGCCGUAACGAUGUCUACUAGC